This 685-nucleotide ribosomal RNA is filed under the name Cystinarius crassus. RNAcentral's name for it is "eukaryotic LSU rRNA". The stretch from base 293 to 446 matches the Rfam family "5.8S ribosomal RNA". Lineage: Eukaryota; Fungi; Basidiomycota; Agaricomycetes; Agaricales; Cortinariaceae. The record is from RNAcentral.
UAAAAGUCGUAACAAGGUUUCCGUAGGUGAACCUGCGGAAGGAUCAUUAUUGAAAUAAACCUGAUGAGCUGUUGCUGGCUCUCUAGGGAGUAUGUGCACGCUUGUCGUCUUUAUAUCUCCACCUGUGCACUUUUUGUAGACCUGGAUAUCUCUCUGAUGCUUUUUAGCAUUUAGGUUGGAGGAUUGACUUGAUUGUCUUUCUUUACACUUCCAGGCCUAUGUUUCUUCAUAUACCCCAUUGUAUGUUACAGAAUGUAAUAAAUGGGCCUUUGUGCCUAUAAAAACCUUAUACAACUUUCAGCAACGGAUCUCUUGGCUCUCGCAUCGAUGAAGAACGCAGCGAAAUGCGAUAAGUAAUGUGAAUUGCAGAAUUCAGUGAAUCAUCGAAUCUUUGAACGCACCUUGCGCUCCUUGGUAUUCCGAGGAGCAUGCCUGUUUGAGUGUCAUUAAUAUAUCAACCUCUUCAGCUUUUGCUUGAGUGGUUGGAUGUGGGGGCUUUAAAUUUCUGCUGGACUUUUUUCUUUUUGAGAAGAUCAGCUCCCCUAAAAUAUAUUAGCAGAACAAUUUUGUUGACCGUUCAUUGGUGUGAUAAAUAUCUACGCUAUUGACGUGAAGCAAGUUCAGCUUCUAACAGUCCAUUGACUUGGACAAAUUUUUCAUUAAUGUGACCUCAAAUCAGGUAGGA